This 468-nucleotide ribosomal RNA is filed under the name uncultured bacterium. RNAcentral's name for it is "partial 16S ribosomal RNA". It matches the Rfam family "Bacterial small subunit ribosomal RNA", at positions 28 to 507 of the family's 1533-position model. The record is from RNAcentral.
GACGAACGCUGGCGGCGUGCUUAACACAUGCAAGUCGAACGGAAAGGCCCUGCUUUUGUGGGGUUCUCGAGUGGCGAACGGGUGAGUAACACGUGAGUAACCUGCCCUUGACUUUGGGAUAACUUCAGGAAACUGGGGCUAAUACCGGAUAGGAGCUCCUGCUGCAUGGUGGGGGUUGGAAAGUUUCGGCGGGUGGGGAUGGAUGCGCGGCUUAUGAGCUUGUUGGUGGGGUAGUGGCUUACCAAGCCUUUGACGGAUAGCCGGCCUGAGAGGGUGACCGGCGACAUGGGGACUGAGAUACGCACCAGACUCGUACGGGAGGCAGCAGGGGGGAAUAUUGCACAGUGGGAGGAAGCCUGAUGCAGCAACGCCGCGUGCGGGAUGACGGCUUUCGGGUUGUAAACCGCUUUCGCCUGUGACGAAGCGUGAGUGACGGUAAUGGGUAAAGAAGCACCGGCUAACUACGUG